GACCCUACGGGGCGCAGCAGUAGGGAAUCUUCCACAAUGGACGAAAGUCUGAUGGAGCAACGCCGCGUGAGUGAAGAAGGGUUUCGGCUCGUAAAGCUCUGUUGGUAGUGAAGAAAGAUAGAGGGAGUAAAUUGCCUUUAUUUGACGGGAAUUACUUAGAAAGUCACGGGUAACUACGUGCCAGCAGCCGCGGUAAUAAGUAGGUGGCAAGCGUUGUCCGGAUUUAUUGGGCGUAAAGCGAG
This 242-nucleotide ribosomal RNA is filed under the name uncultured bacterium. RNAcentral describes it as "partial 16S ribosomal RNA". It matches the Rfam family "Bacterial small subunit ribosomal RNA", at positions 335 to 569 of the family's 1533-position model. The record is from RNAcentral.